RNAcentral lists this ribosomal RNA (252 nucleotides) under Ihubacter massiliensis. RNAcentral describes it as "partial 16S ribosomal RNA". It matches the Rfam family "Bacterial small subunit ribosomal RNA", at positions 524 to 776 of the family's 1533-position model. Lineage: Bacteria; Bacillati; Bacillota; Clostridia; Peptostreptococcales; Anaerovoracaceae. The record is from RNAcentral.
UACGUAGGGGGCAAGCGUUAUCCGGAAUUAUUGGGCGUAAAGAGUACGUAGGCGGUUCUCUAAGCGCAGGGUAUAAGGCAAAGGCUUAACCAUUGUUCGCCCUGUGAACUGGAGGACUUGAGUACAGGAGAGGAAAGCGGAAUUCCUAGUGUAGCGGUGAAAUGCGUAGAUAUUAGGAGGAACACCAGUGGCGAAGGCGGCUUUCUGGACUGAAACUGACGCUGAGGUACGAAAGCGUGGGGAGCAAACAGG